CUGGCACUAACCUUUGUGCCCUUCUAUAAUAUCUAAGUUGAAAGAAAUCACCCUAGGUCACCUUCAUAUUCAAGUGAUGUUGAUGAUUUAAAGGUGUAGCUAUAGACUUCUCCCCUCCACGCAAGAUUCCUGAGCUGUCCAACCUGGCUCGCCAAAUAUCAUCAACGUGAACUGUUGAUAAGAUAAAUCUGAGUUUAUUGCUUACCUAGAAGUGACGGGUCUUUUGGGAAGUUCCUGUAAUGAAUAAUCAAGCCAUUUGCCUGGGCAGAAGACUCCCGGAAAAAGAAAGCCAUGCUGAUGAAGCCAGAAGAACAGAAAGUCGUGCUGAUGUAGACAGUAGGACCAGCGGUGGGAGGAGCAAGAGGCCAUUGGGCCCAUACCAAAUGAGGCUGUCAGUGGAGUCAUCGUAUUUAUGUGUUCUUUAAAGGCAUUAAUUUAUU
This 440-nucleotide long non-coding RNA is filed under the name Equus caballus (horse). RNAcentral's name for it is "lncRNA (ENSECAG00000059534.1)". The record is from RNAcentral. Lineage: Eukaryota; Metazoa; Chordata; Mammalia; Perissodactyla; Equidae.